GUAAACUACUUGCACUGUUAUUUUUUACUCUUUGUUAAAUUUGCAAAGGGAAGUAAUGGAAUAGGUUCUGGCCUUUAAUUCUUGAAUAGUUUGGAAUUUUAAUGAGGCAUAUUUGAGGGAGCCCUCCAUUUUGAAUAAAAUCUGGUUUUGAUCCUGAUCUUUUUUCUAACUUGGUUAGUAUGCUCCUAUUUUUCGUAAUUUACUUUUCUCGUUUGUGAAAUAGUUAGUUGAAUUAGAUCAUCUCUAAUUUUCCUUUUCACUUGAAAACUCAAUUUAAUUUUAAAAAUUGAAGAUGCCUUUUCUCAGGUUAGAAUUCACUUUAUACUCUAUACAACAUCUGAUACAUAAAUUAGUAUGGUUAGUGGUGUAAUUGCCUUUCCUAAGUAGGCAUGAGUAGCCAUUAGCUUAUACAUGAUUCUCGAACCCACUUGAUUUGACUGUUGUUGAAAUUAUCAAAGUGAGUUUCUCUUUAGCAGGUUCAGGUUUGAUGUUAGAAAGCACUAUGACUCACAAGAAGAUAUUUUCUUUUCCCCAAUCCCUUUAAAUUUUUUUUUUUUUUAGUUGUAGAUGGACACAAUACCUUUAUUUUAUUUGUUUUUAUUUUUAUGUGGUGUCAGGGAUUAAACCCAGUGCCUCACACAUGCUAGGCAAACGCUCUACCACUGAGCCACAACCCAGGCCCUUCCCCAACCUCUUUAAACAUUAUUUCAUUCUUUUAAAAAUAUUAUUCAUUGGGCUGGGGAUAUAGCUCAGUUGGUAAAGUGCUUGCCUUGCAUGCACAAGGCCCUGGAUUCAAUACCCAGCACCACAACCAAAA
RNAcentral lists this long non-coding RNA (817 nucleotides) under Marmota monax (woodchuck). Lineage: Eukaryota; Metazoa; Chordata; Mammalia; Rodentia; Sciuridae. The record is from RNAcentral.